This is a long non-coding RNA of Passer domesticus (house sparrow), 1960 nucleotides long. RefSeq lists it as uncharacterized. The record is from RefSeq and is a predicted model, not a curated record. The transcript has 3 exons. Lineage: Eukaryota; Metazoa; Chordata; Aves; Passeriformes; Passeridae.
GUUGCCAGCUACUGUCCUCUUGGGGACAAGGAUUCAAGUCCACACAACAUCACUCGGGUAAUGCUUUUCCUCUUGGUGUCAUGCAUUAGGCUUCUGCUGCUGAGUCCAAGAACAGAAAAGGUGUCUGUACUUCAAGUCCAGAAAUAAAAAAGAAAGUAUGAAGCCUUCAAAAUACUUUCUAAAAUAGAAGGAAAAACUGGAGAAUGGGACAUCCAAAGCACUCAGAACUUGACACAACUUCUGAAGGUGCUCAAGAAGCCAGAUGCUCAUAACUACGUGGUGCCAUUGAAAAGCUGUGCAAAAUGAACUGCUGCCCUUGCUGCAGAUACCCAGCACAGAAGUCCCACCUACAAAACCCCUUCAGGACUAGAGUCAGACCAGCUCUGCAAAGGAGAACAGACAUAAGGGGAGCGGAGAACAGACACUUCUGCUGUCUGCUGAACCUGAGAAAUCCAGGUCAGCCAGAACCAGCUGAGAGGUUUGAGUUUGGGAUGGGGGUAUUUGUAUUUCAUGAAGCCCAACAAGCAGUUCAAGGCUAACAAUGUCCAGGCAUCAACGUUGUGCAUUUGAAGAAACAGCCAAAGGCAAAUCAAUCUCCAGUUCCAAACAAGUCCUCUUCUAAACCCAACACAAUUACACUUAGAAAAGUCCAAAGAAAAAAAAUUUAUCUUGCAUUUCAUGUUUCACACUCAGUUCUAAAAGCCUUUCAUCAAUAUUUCCAGGUAAGUUUCAUUACUCUAUACAGCCCCAGAAAACAGCUUAUUCAGUUUUGUAUGUAAGCUGCUCCCUAUUGGAGAAAAAAUAUUAAAAAUGCUUAACUGCAAUUGGCUAUACUUUGCACUCAUGCUAGAAAAAUGCUUAUUGAGCCAGAAAGUAACACAAAAGUGAAAACCCCCAGAAAGCCAGCUAUUUCACUAUAUGCAAUGCAUUCACUUUACAGCCUAAAAAUUGUUUAAAAAUGAACACUGCAUGGUAGAGCAGUUUGGCAGUAAACAUGAUUGUGCAUUUGUGUCUUGGUAUUGAAGAAGGAGCCUUUUUUCAUAGUGAAUUUUUCAUUCAAAUGUAAGUGAUGAUUUACGUUAAAUAUAGGUAAAGCAUAGCUACAUUUUCCUGAAGGAUUGCAAGGAAGUGAAGAGCAGUACAAUAAGUUGAAGCAUAAAAGCUUUCUCUGUCAUAAUAUUUAUUAUAAUGGCAUAUAAAAUAGCUGAAAUAAAUAAUAGAUGACUAAAAGUAAAUUCAUAUGAUAAAGAAUCUUUCAGCAGACACCAUUACUUCUGACUGCUCCAGUUUCCUACAGAGUUGAAGAGUCUUAAUAAAUAUGCUGUAGCCUCUGUAUCUUAUGUAAGUACAAGUCAUUUUGUGAGGGCCUACUUAAAAUGUACCAGAGUGGACACUACACAAUUUACUGUAGAAUUUUACUCUCAGAAAAUAGUGUGUGUACAUCUUCAAUGUUUAAAAGUCCUUAAUUCGAAACUGAAUACUUGGCACAAUAACAGGAAUAUCUGACUUUGAGGAACUGAAAGUACAAUCAAUUGGUAAAAAGUGGUUUAAUUUAAUACAGAAAAAUCUUCAUGACAACGUCUUGGAAUGCAGAUAGUUCUGACAGGCUGUCUGAGAAAGAAAAUCUUGGGUGAAAAAAAAAGAAUUUUAUAUCAAAGCUGAUGAAAAAUCUGUGGAAUUAUCUGGAUAUAGGUAAACAAAUAACCAAAUCUCAGCACAUGACAAGCAAUGCCCACAUAAACUCAUAUUUCCACGUUGAGGAUGGAGCAGGGGAUGUUUUAGAAGCACAUCUGACAAUUUGACACAUGGCUUAUGACAGUCAAUAGCCAGUGCCAUGCACUAUUUAUGGGGGUACCUAAUGGGGAAAAAGGCUUUCACUCAGGAUUAGGACUGCAAAUGUUAUUGUCCCUAAUGUAGUCAACAUUUGGUACUUCAUGCAAAACUGUAUUUAUGCAAUGGC